This is a non-coding RNA of Phlegmacium glaucopus, 94 nucleotides long. Lineage: Eukaryota; Fungi; Basidiomycota; Agaricomycetes; Agaricales; Cortinariaceae. The record is from the annotation of a GenBank genome assembly.
UGCCCCAUGGCUGAGUUGGUUACAGCGUCCGACUGUUAAGUGAGUACACUCAUCUGAUAUCGGAAGGUCGUGAGUUCGAGCCUCACUGGGGCAG